AACCAUUCUCACCUGCGGCUAGACCUGCGGAAGGAUCAUUAAAAAGAGUGUGUACCCCUCUGUAAAAUGAGUGGGUUACCUCCCGUCCUUUGUUGACCUCUUAGGAGGUUAUUUUGAACUUUCUGCUUCGGUGGGGUUAAACCUACCGGAACACCCUCAAAUUCUUAUCAUUUAAAAAUUGUUCAGUCUGAUUUUUGUUAAUAAAAACAAAAAACUUUCAGCAAUGGAUCUCAGAUCGGA
Molecule: unclassified non-coding RNA, 240 nt
Filed under: soil metagenome
Description: partial contains 5.8S ribosomal RNA, internal transcribed spacer 2, and large subunit ribosomal RNA
Source: RNAcentral